RNAcentral lists this ribosomal RNA (449 nucleotides) under uncultured bacterium. RNAcentral's name for it is "partial 16S ribosomal RNA". It matches the Rfam family "Bacterial small subunit ribosomal RNA", at positions 330 to 793 of the family's 1533-position model. The record is from RNAcentral.
ACCAGACUCCUACGGGAGGCAGCAGUGGGGGAUAUUGCACAAUGGGGGGAACCCUGAUGCAGCGACGCCGCGUGGGUGAAGGAGUAUUUCGGUAUGUAAAGCCCUAUCGGCAGGGAAGAAGCAAGACGGUACCUGACUAAGAAGCCCCGGCUAACUACGUGCCAGCAGCCGCGGUAAUACGUAGGGGGCGAGCGUUAUCCGGAUUCACUGGGCGUAAAGGGAGCGUAGACGGCCAAGCAAGCCAGGGGUGAAAGCCCGGGGCCCAACCCCGGGACUGCCCUUGGAACUGCUUGGCUGGAGUGCGGGAGGGGCAGGCGGAAUUCCUGGUGUAGCGGUGAAAUGCGUAGAUAUCAGGAGGAACACCGGCGGCGAAGGCGGCCUGCUGGACCGCGACUGACGUUGAGGCUCGAAAGCGUGGGGAGCGAACAGGAUUAGAUACCCUUGUAAAA